This is a long non-coding RNA of Manis pentadactyla (Chinese pangolin), 651 nucleotides long. RefSeq lists it as uncharacterized. NCBI's taxonomy places the organism in Eukaryota, Metazoa, Chordata, Mammalia, Pholidota, Manidae. The transcript has 6 exons. The record is from RefSeq and is a predicted model, not a curated record.
AUUGUUGACAGUUUUAUUAGAAUAGUCUUGGAGCACAUCUCUUUAAGUUUAUUUUGUUGGUGACCUAUGAGCUUCAUGAACUUGGAUAUUCAAAUUGCUCCCCAGAUUUGCUACUGAAUUUCUUGAAAACAACUAUUUGAGUGCUUCAUCUGGUUUGUGUGGCUGUCUUCACAUCUGAAGUAGUCACGCCUCCAGUCUUUAUGAAUUGCCUUCUAGAGGGAAAUGCCUUCCAUCCACCCUGCUAGUUUCUGAGGCUCUCUCAGACCUGCUAAACCUGACCACCUUCCUGUAUUGGGGAAUUUCACAUCACAUAAUGUCUAGUGACACGGUGGAGCGGAGCAGCUAAAGAUAUGUGUUGUGUCUAUUGCAAGGGUAGAAUAAUCCACAGAUUCAAUUUUUCACCCAAAUGAGGACUGGAAGUUGCCAGCUUACUUGGACAUAGUGCCCUGAAGAUCCCACCGAUUUCUAGUCUGUGACCACUGUGAGGAAUGCUUCCUAGGGCCUCUUCCUCCCUGUGACACCCCAACCUAGAUACAGGUCAACCAUGCAGCCCAGCUGACAUAUCUUAUGUGUCUCUAAACCUGCACACCAUCAUCCUACUGUCCCUUGCUGCCCAUGACUUCCCUUCUAUAAAUAAAUAAGUUAAUUUUU